AGUCCUGUACAGUGUAAGAUACCUUGUACUUUUCAAUCUCUGUAUAUUUUGUGCAUCUUCUACUGUUCAUCAGACACUAGUUGUAAACAAAAUACUCACUCUGAUGAACGUUUUGUUAAAAACAUGUAAGUACAGUGAUGACUUAGUGGGGCUAUUGUAGCUUUAGGCUUUCCAGAAGUCUAUGAUGUUGUCAGGAUGGCAGAAUUUUUUCUGUGGCAAACUCAUCUGUUAGAGCAUUGCAGCUGCACUGCCUCAUGAUGCAAAGCAAGGUGGAUGUUCUAAUAAUUAGCAGAGUCUCCGAGUUCUGUGGAAAUCAGAGGAUUUUUGUGGUGUAGUUUAACAAAGUUGUGCAGGAGUCAGUGGAGGCAGCCAAUGGUCUGAAAUUAUAGUAGUUGCGCAGGUAUUUUGUCAGACUCUUGCUGCUUUCAUUAUACAAAGUCAAUGAAGUUAAAAUUUCAGCUUUUGAUACCACUUAAGUAGUAAGUUCUACUGAUACUUUUGGAAUUACUAAUGGUGGCAGACUUUGUUCAGACAUAUCUUCCAACAAAUGAUAGCUAUGGUGAGGUAUGGUGAGGUUCUUCAUGUCAAACUUCUGUCAAACAAAACUGGUUUUGCACCAUAACGCCAUAACAAUUUGCUAGUCAAAAAGAGAUCCUCAGUGCAACUAUUACAAUUUCAUUUCUUGUUUAAAUAACUAAAUUAAUAGCAGUAUUUUCUUAUAAUGAAAGCAUCUUAGCUUACUUAAUUCUAGUUAUUUAAAUCUGAGCUAAUCAUCUAUGUUGCUUUUUAUAGGCAAUGGAAAGGAAUAAAUCUUUCUAGAGCACAAUCCAGUGACCUACUUUAAAUGUCUGUCUUAGGAGGAGAGAUGUUCUGUGUGUUAGAAAUGUCUUUUAAGGGAGACCAGGUCAUCACCAACACCCAGCGGACUGGCUGGUGAAUCAACGGACUGACAAGAUCUGUUCUAUUAGAAAGCUCUGGAUUCAUCAUGUUGCUGUCAAUCUUUUAAGCAAAGUUUCAGCAUCUGUGUCUGUCUAUCUUCAAAUCUUAGCUCUCAAAGAUUUGCAACUACUUGGACAGUAUUUAUUCAGCUACUAUCUUUGGGAGUUGUAUAUGUUUUUAACAAUUUCACUGCCGGUAAUAAACAGCGAUCUUCUGUUGACUGGACAAGGACUGCACAAGGACUUACAGAUCUAGAUAGUUUGGACAAUCAGCGAUGGUAUGAUGUUCAACAAAAGUAAAUGUUGGGUGCUGCAACUCAUUUCCCUCUGCCCUCCUCUCCCCUCUUCCCACCUGCUCUGUCUCGGGCAUGCACCCAUCGUUUAUAACAACCGAAGUAUUAAUGCUGUCUAAGCUGAAAGCAGGGCAUGGGUAAAACUUUUGUAAUAGAAAAAUAUCCCUCACUUCAUAACCAUGCCUUACUC
RNAcentral lists this long non-coding RNA (1421 nucleotides) under Coturnix japonica (Japanese quail). RNAcentral's name for it is "lncRNA (ENSCJPG00005012719.1)". Lineage: Eukaryota; Metazoa; Chordata; Aves; Galliformes; Phasianidae. The record is from RNAcentral.